This 468-nucleotide ribosomal RNA is filed under the name uncultured bacterium. Its description in RNAcentral is "partial 16S ribosomal RNA". It matches the Rfam family "Bacterial small subunit ribosomal RNA", at positions 28 to 507 of the family's 1533-position model. The record is from RNAcentral.
GACGAACGCUGGCGGCGUGCUUAACACAUGCAAGUCGAACGGAAAGGCCUGGCUUUUGUUGUGUGCUCGAGUUGCUAACGUGUGAGUAACACGUGAGUAACCUGCCCUUUACUUUGGGAUAACUUCAGUAAACUUGGGCUAAUACCUGUUAUUAGCUCCUGCUGCGUGGGGUGGUUUGUAAAGUUUCGGCGGUUGGUGUUGGACUCGCGGCUUAUCAGCUUGUUGGUGGGGUAGUGGCUUACGAAGUCUUUGACGGGUAGCCGGCCUGAGAGGGUGAACGGACACACUGGGACUGAGAUAAGGCGCAGACGCAGAGGGGAGGCAGCAGUGGGGAAUAGUGCACAAUGGGAGGAAGGCUGAUGCAGCAACGCCGCGUGUGGGAUGACGGCCUUCGGGUUGUAAACCGCUUUCGACUGUGACGAAGCGUGAGUGACGGUAAUGGGUAAAGAAGCACCGGCUAACUACGUG